Molecule: long non-coding RNA, 551 nt
Organism: Cyprinus carpio carpio
Lineage: Eukaryota; Metazoa; Chordata; Actinopteri; Cypriniformes; Cyprinidae
Source: Ensembl
GUGUAAAAUAUGACCACUUCUGUAUAAGGCUUAGCUGCAUUCUGGCACCUCAGGCAGGGCUAAAUUUGACUUUAUUUCUAACUUGCUUUGCAGGCCUCAGAUGUUAGCAACCCUUGGAAAUAUAAUCAAAUGUGGUGUUCAGCAGAGAUUGUUUGUUCAAGUGGGGUGGGAAGUUUCAAGUCGCCCUCAGCAGACACGACAUCCAUCGCAAUAUUUCAGGGUAUUCAUUUUCUCCAAACGGUCUCUCCUAGACGCUGCUGAUGUGAAAACCGAGGGAAUUAGCUGCAAACCUCCUCCGCCCACAGAACAAGGACACGAUGAACACGGCAAAUGGAUCUCCACAUGGUAAGUGUAAGAGGAAGGAAAACAUUCACAGCGGCUCAUGAGGGGACGGGAUUGAACUGUGACGGAGACACUGACACGACACGCAGAUGGGACAAUCUCUCGAGGGGCUUGCUCAUGUUCUGAGUCACCAAUCUGCUGCAGGUUCUUGUGACUCUGGCCCCUGAACCAUAUCUGCAGACCAUAACAGAGACUUGAAGCUGAUUUUU